AUACGUAGGGGGCGAGCGUUGUCCGGAAUGAUUGGGCGUAAAGGGCGCGUAGGCGGCGCGGUAAGUCUGGAGUGAAAGUCCUGCUUUCAAGGUGGGAAUUGCUUUGGAUACUGCCGCGCUUGAGUGCAGGAGAGGUUAUCGGAAUUCCCGGUGUAGCGGUGAAAUGCGUAGAGAUCGGGAGGAACACCAGUGGCGAAGGCGGGUAACUGGACUGCAACUGACGCUGAGGCGCGAAAGUGUGGGGAGCAAACAGGAUUAGAUACCCUGGUAGGCCACACUGUAAACGAUGAAUGCUAGGUGUAAGAGGUAUCGGCCCCUUUUGUGCCGGAGUCAACACAAUAAGCAUUCCGCCUGGGGAGUACGGCCGCAAGGUUGAAACUCAAAUGAAUUGACGGGG
This 397-nucleotide ribosomal RNA is filed under the name uncultured bacterium. RNAcentral describes it as "partial 16S ribosomal RNA". It matches the Rfam family "Bacterial small subunit ribosomal RNA", at positions 523 to 918 of the family's 1533-position model. The record is from RNAcentral.